Molecule: ribosomal RNA, 459 nt
Filed under: uncultured bacterium
Lineage: Bacteria
Description: partial 16S ribosomal RNA
Rfam family: Bacterial small subunit ribosomal RNA
Source: RNAcentral
CCUACGGGAGGCAGCAGUGAGGAAUAUUGGUCAAUGGCCGCAGGGCUGAACCAGCCAAGUCGCGUGAGGGAUGACGGUCCUAUGGAUUGUAAACCUCUUUUGUCAGGGAGCAAAGGGCGCCACGUGUGGCGCUUUGCGAGUACCUGAAGAAAAAGCAUCGGCUAACUCCGUGCCAGCAGCCGCGGUAAUACGGAGGAUGCGAGCGUUAUCCGGAUUUAUUGGGUUUAAAGGGUGCGCAGGCGGAAUGUCAAGUCAGCGGUAAAAUUUCGGGGCUCAACCCCGUCGUGCCGUUGAAACUGGCGUUCUUGAGUGAGCGAGAAGUAUGCGGAAUGCGUGGUGUAGCGGUGAAUUGCAUAGAUAUCACGCAGAACUCCGAUUGCGAAGGCAGCAUACCGGCGCUCAACUGACGCUCAUGCACGAAAGCGUGGGUAUCGAACAGGAUUAGAUACCCCAGUAGUC